AGUGGAAUAACUGGGUCAAAAGGUGAUUACAUCCCACAUUUUCUGAGGAAUCAACAUACUGCUUUCCAUAAUGGUUGCACCAAUUUGCAGUCCCACUAGCAGU
RNAcentral lists this microRNA precursor (103 nucleotides) under Marmota monax (woodchuck). The record is from RNAcentral. Lineage: Eukaryota; Metazoa; Chordata; Mammalia; Rodentia; Sciuridae.